UGGUAUCAAUUUUCCUCAGUAGCUCAUCCACAGAUGAAUUACCAAACUGAUGUGAUGAAUCGACCUGUCCUCCAAGGGCUUAAAAACGAUUAGACGGUGCUAAAAAGAAUUGGGCAGCUGAAUUGCAUAGCAUCUUGUGGGUAUUAUGUAAUAGACCUUGGACAUCAACAGGGAAAACCUCGUUCACACUAGCAUUUGGGACAAAAGCUAUAGUUCCCAUAGAGCUUGUAAUGAUCUGGAAACCAGACCGCUACCGGCGCUAGGAUCCAGAUCGACUUAAGGUCGCCGGGACCCGUAGCAAGCCUACUAUACAUCAUGUACACCUGAUAAAAUCUCAUACAUAAUCAUACAUUUUCAUAAAAACUUUAAACUUUUCAUAUACCAAGCUUGACCUGUGCAUGCACUAAAACUGUAUACAUAAAACCCCUUACUGGAGCCCUCAUCAAAUGCUCCAGUUGGGUCAACAUCUCAUAUGUCAAGCCUGAUUCAACAUAUAUCAUCAUUAAAACAUUUCAUAAAGAUCAUGUACCAAAAGGGAUUAACCAUACAUUAGGGCCAAGCACAAUACUAAUCCUCAUUACAUUACUGAACAAUACCUUAUAUUACAUUACAAGUCCACUACUAAUCUAUUACAUAGACUAUACCAUAACCUUGCUGACUUUCCCAUAGCUACCUGAGCUCCUGCAAACCUGGGGGUUAGGGGAAAGGGGUGAGCUACAAAAGCCUAGUGAGCAGAAUAGUAAAAACAAUUUAAUAAACAUAUGCUUUCAUGGAAUGCAUCACAACACAAACAAUUUACAUCACGGAUGGACUGACCCAAAAAUCCCUCUACUCUGUGUCCGGCCCUAGAUGGAGCUCCUCAGGACUUCUAUUACAUAACAUAAGCUCUGUGCCAGGGGCGUAGUGCAGGCCACACCUGGUCUUUCCUGUACUCUGUGCCAGGGGCGUAGAAUGGCAGCCCUGGUCUUUCAUUACAUAACAUAAUAUCUAGAGGGCUAAUGGGUCGUCCUAUUAUCCAUCCACAUCAACAACCAAUUAUACAAUGCGGCAUAUUCGUGAAAUCUAAUGCAUCCAACCUAUUUUAUAUACAUGAUGCAUGAACAUGCUUAAAACAUUUGAUUUCUUGAAAUAAAAGAUUAGUUUAGUUCUACUCACCUCUGGCUGACUCUGAACUAACUCUGAAGCAGCUAUCUCACUGUUGGUCACCUCGGUUCCUCAGGUUUGAUCCUACACAGGUGGACUCAAAUGAGGGACCAAACAUACUCUAACAUGACUCUAAUAUCUCCCCAAAAAACCCCCUAAAACAUCAUAAACAUGCAUGGAAAAACAGGCAAAGGAAGACUGGGCAGGGGACUUUCGGCGGCAGGUUCGGCGACCAAAGGUCCCCACAGAGCCGAAAGUCAAGUACUUUCGGGGGCAGGGUUCAGUGGCCGAAGGUCCUUCCAGAGCCGAAAUUCACAACCUUCGGGGGCAGGUUCGGCGGCCGAAACUCCCCUCCAGAGCUGAAAGUACAAACUUUCGGGGGCGAGUUUAGGCGGCCAAAAUUGCCUCCCCUGGUAGGUUCGGCGGCUGAACCUUGCUUCGGCGGCCGAACCUGGAUCCUCCUGGGUGGCAGAACCCGAUUCUGCCAUCCCACAUUCAGCCAUCCCAACUUCCCAACAUGCAUUCAACUAGUCUAAAACAUGCAUAAACACUUAUUCAAGCAUAUAGGGGCAUAAAACUAGCCUAAACCCCAACAAACAUCAACAUAGCAUCACAUAAACAUACAUUUACCAUUUAACUAACAUAAACCCUAACAUUUUACAACUAGCCUAAAAAUGCAUCAAAACCCCUUAACCCUUCAUAAAACUUACUUAAAAACAUAAGAGAAGAUGAGGAUCGACACUUAUCUCUUAAAGAUCGAGAGGAGAUGCGAUCCCAAACUUAGAGAUAUGGAGGAACGAGCUCCGGGGGUCUCCAAGCUUCAAAACUUUGAUCUUAGCUUAAAAUCUUCAAAACAUGGUAAAAACUCAUAAAAAUCUUGAAGGAUUUGAGGAGAAAACACGAGAUCAUCAAGGGGGUGGCGGAGACUCACCUUGUCCGGAAAUAGAGCGAGAAAACUCACCCAUUUUCGGAUAGGGAACCUUUUAUAGGUGGCUGGCCAGACCACCUUUGGAGGCCAAAAGUGCCUCCGUAACUCCACCAUGUUCGGCGGCCGAAUCUGGGUUUCUCCUCCAAAAUAUUUUCUUUCAAAACUCAAUUUUCUUUCUUCAUUAAAACCAUAAAACAUAUCAAAACAUUUUAGAAAACCUUUAUUUUACCCUUCUAGAAGGCUCCGACAUCCGAGAAAUUCCAGAUUCCAAUGGAGAUUCCGCCGAAAGGUAGGAAUUCCGAUGCCGGGGUCUAGCUGGGUAUUACAGAGCUGCAGAUCCCCACUCACUAGGUUCAAUUCAAUGAUGAAAACAUCAGUGGUGAGAAAUUGAAGAGCAACUUGGAUACCCUAAAGAAAAUCAGGGAUGAAGCACAAGUGUGAACAACUGCUUAUCAGCAAAAAAGCAGCUUGGUACUACAACCAGAAAGUCUGGGAGAGAAACUUGAAGGUUAGGGACUUAGCCCUGAGGAUACUAGAAGCCACAGGAAAAGUGGUUGAUGUAGGAAAGCUAACACCAACCUAGGAAGGACCGUUUAGAGUCGCCAAAGUCAUCAGAUCGGGAGUAUAUAGAAUCGAAGAUUUGCAGGAGAAUCCAGAACCUCACGCCUGCAACAUCCAGUAUUUGAAGAGGUAGUUUCCAUAAGAUUUACAAUGUAACUAUUAUAGUGAGGAUAUGAAUAAAAAACUUCUUUUCUAUUCUCAAAAUACUCUUGAAAAGCGAUGAAGACCUCAAUGAGGUAAGUGACCAAUCUCAAAAAUAAGACCGCCGGUACUACAAAAUCGGUUGAGGAGAUGAAGACCUCAAUAAGAUAAGUGACUGGUCUCGAAAAUAAGACUGUCCACACCACAAAACUGAUUGAGGAGAUGAAUACCUCAAUGAGGUAGGUGACGGGUCUUGAAAAUAAGCUAGCCAGCACCACAAAGUUGGCCAGCACCAUAAAACUAGUUGAGGAGAUGAAGAGCUCAAUGAGGUAGGUGACCGGUCUUAGAAAUAAUAUCGUCGGCACCAUAAAAUUGAUUGAAGAGAUGAAGACCUUAAUGAGGUAAGUGAUUGGUCUCGAAAAUAGGCUGCCAACACCACAAAACCAAUUGAGAAAAUGAAGACCUCAAUGAGGUGGGUGAUCAAUCUUGGAAAUAGAUUGUCGACACUACAAAAUCGAUUGAGGAAAUGAAGACCUCAAUGAGGUGGGUGACUGGUCUCGAAAACAGACUGCUAGCACCACAAAACCAAUUGAGAAAAUAAAGACCUCAAUGAGGUGGAUGACUAGUCUCGAAAACAAAUCGCCGGCACCACAAAAUUGAUUGAGGAGUUAAAGACCAUGCUAAAGGCCCAUACUAGCAAAAAUAUAAGCCAAAAGAAAAAAAACCCAGGGUGUCGACCUCAUAAAAUGACCUCGGCACCAAGGCCCAUACUAGCAAAAAUAUAGGCCAAAAGAAAUAAAGGCAGGGUGCCGACCUCACAAAAUGACCUCGGCACCAAGGCCCAUAUUAGCAAAAACAUAAGCCAAAAGAAAUAAACGCAUGGUGUUGACCUCACAAUAAGACCUUGGCACUCUCAAGGCAAAACCAAAAUAAAACUAAGGCCAGGAACUGACUCCUGAAAUGGACCUCGAUCCUGUGAAUAUCAAAUUGCAAAUAAGGAAAAAAUACAACUUUGGAACAAUAUAAACCAAGACAGAGCUGCAUGAAAACUAAAGGCAAUCUUAGGAAAUGCCAACCUCAAAAACUAACCUCUAGCACUAAAUUAGCUCAAAGAAAGAGCUCACAACCCGACCAUCUAAAGGCACUAGAGGAGUAGAAGGCAUAAAAUCUAACGCGUUCAAUAAACAGAAUCCAAAACGCAAUAAGUUAUAUGUUUUUACUGGCAAAACAUCAAACGAGUGGCUAGCUCGGCAUUGCUCACAAACAAUAUAUGAAAAAAUAAUUUAAGUAUGGAAAUACAAACAAAAUCUAAAUAGACGGAAAAAUAAAAGCAAGCAACUGGAAAAUAACAAAAAGGUUCAGAAUUUUUAUUAAUCACUCUUUCCCUACACCAUUCGAAUGGGUUACAAAAGCAGCAAGGGAAGGGAGAGCAAAACUAACUAGGUCAUUUACAAGAUUGCCCUCCUGCAGUCCAAGGGGCAAGGAAGGGGGAUUCUUGAGCAGGGGAUUAUUGUCCUCUCUGUAGCAAACCUCCUCACAGUCGAAAUCGAGUUCGAGGGCUCAUAGGUCAGCCAAUGGAGUGGAGGGGGCAUCACAAGCAGCUUUGAGGCCCUGGUUAAAGCCUAAAGCGAACAUGCAAAAAGCCUCCUUAUAUAUUCUUUCCUUUAACUCUGCCAAGCCCUUAUACUCCUCCAACCGUGCUUCGCAAGCCUAUUGAAUUUUCUCCUUUAGCUCUGAGAGUCCUUGAACUCCUGCAGCCGCACUUCACAGGCCCACUGAACUCUGUCCUCUACAGCCCGAACAUCCCUUAAUAAGGAGGCACACCUCUCCUUUAUGGCAGAAACCUCUUGGCAGAGUUCCCGCUACUGAAGUCAAGACUCCUCCGCUGCUGAGGUCAUGCCCUUCAAGUCCUUGAUGUGUUUGUUAAGCUCAUGCUAGAGGACAGUAGCACAAGUCAAGGCCUCAUCGCGCUAUGCCCAAGCCUCAUCGCGUUGACGAUGAAUCUCCUCCAAAGCAGAUAACUGCAUGAGGGCUUCAUCUCGCUAAGACUCCACCGCAGAAGCCUGUUGGGAAGCUUUGGAAACCUCCUCCCUAUCUCCCCCAACUACUUGGUCAGGUCUUUGAUUUGCCUCCGGAACUCAAUAAUGUGCCCACGAGCCUCAUUAGUGGCAACCAGAUUCUCGUCCCGACAUGCCUCAGCAAUGCGCUCGUCCAUCAAGCUCUGGAGAGACCAAUUUCGAGCAUUGAUCUCCAUGAAUAUGCCAAAGGACUAUCAUACAAAAGAAAAAGUAAAGUUUGAAAAGCUAGAAACUCAAAAACGCUUUGAAAAAAGUCAAACAACUUACCAUGAGGAACAUCUCUCUUAAACUGUCCCCGAGAUCCUCUAGGGAACGCGAGCUAAAAGCCACCUGCUGCUUAGUGGCCCAAGUCAGAUGACUAAUGAGCGCCAUAAAACAAGGGUCAAAAGCAUCCAGGACCCCUCAAACAUCUUACUACUCAGCAUCUCAGCCACGAGAGCUGGCUUUGACUCUAUGGUCACCUCAAUCACAUUUAACAACUCAUUGUCUAGGUUAGACAACAAGUACAUUACCACCAUUUUCCCCUCAUCAAUGGGAAGGGAAAGGGCUGCCUCUAUAGGUUCUGAAGUCUGGGCACAUUUAGCAGCCCUGCCUUUGAUUGUGAUAGCACUCACAGCUUGAAUGGGUGGGACAUCCAAGGGAGCAGUUCUGAUGCCCUCUUUCUAGCUACUCUCAAUCAACUCGCUAAUCGCGAUAGGCUCUUUAGGAACUUCCUUUGGAGCGGAAGGAGCCUUGGAAGAAGCCGGCGCUUUAGGAGAGACCGACGUCUUAGAAGUCGUUGAACGAGAGCCUCUGACACGGGCACUAAAGCCAGAGAAGGUGCAGGGGUAGGAGCAGAAUGACAAGCUGAAGAUGCGAGAUCUGUGGCAUGAAAAACAUCUUUGGUCACAUCAGCUAUAGACUUGUUGGCCUCAAAGGCGGCCAGAGUCUCCUUCGCUCUCCUAGUAUAGAGUGAAGUCCUUGAAAAGCUUGAUGGAACCUAUUGGCAUGGCAGAAGCUGAAAAGGAAAUAUCAGUCCAGUCAGAGCUCGAAACAACAAAAGAAAAAUAUAAAAAGAAAGAAAACUAAAAAAAAUACCAGCUUUCCGACAGUCCUGCAGGUUAGACAUAAAUAUGCACUUCUCGGCGUCAUAUUUAUUCUUUACAUAGGUCAGUUGGAGAAAGCAAAUUCGGUCUACUAGACUUAACCUAGGAAGUUAUUACAGUCCUAAGGAAUUUCUCUCCAAGAGAGGUUGAUAUCCCAGUUAACCCUUGAGCUUUCCUUUCCUUUAGCUCGACAACCACAAAAUUAUCUACCCAACCUUUAAUCAAGUCCUUGUACCUUGUGAAUAUAAAUAACCUAGCCCGAGGACAAAAAUAGCAAAAUCCAUGGGUAGACCUAACUAGGUGGAAGAAAGUACAAACAACUCGAUAGAAAGGACAAAACUCUAACACAGACAGAUGGACUCAAAAUAGCACAUGAAUAGAAUAGAGUUAGGGGACAACAUUCGUGGAAUCACCCUAAAAUGACGGAAAACCUCGAUAAAGAAAAGGGUAAAAGGAAAGGUCAGCCUAAAGUCACGCUGUUUGACGAAAAAAACCAAGUUACCCCCUGCUGAGUGUCUAUCAGGUUCGUCGGCAGUGGGUAAGGGAGAACAAUUCAUUCAUUGGGCAAAGGAGCUCCAAUUUUAAAAAUAAUGGUGUUAGAAUAGUCACGGAAAAAAUAGUGUCAGAAGAAGGAAGGAGUAACAGAGGACACCAGACUCACUACAUUGGGAAUUCUAAUAGAAGCCAUGAGAGGAGUAAGACGUACCUCGAAUUAAAAAAUCAUGGAUUAUAGAGAAAAAAAAGAGCAAGAUAGCAGAAGCAGCGCAAGAGGCAGAGUAACGAGUGAAAGCAAGAGCAUAAGUUUGAAAUAGAUAAAGGUAAAGAAGAGACAUUUUGACAGAAUUCUUCUAGAGUCGUGCGAUAAUAAUUGAAAUCUCAAAAUUUACCCGCUCAUAAAUCAUGAGAUAAUUAAUAAGCAGGUAAAUGGGCAUUUGAUAACGACCGGGCCCUGGACGCUCAAGCUGUGGCUAAGCCCGGACUAGAAAGGCUGGGCCUUAGUUUUAUUAGGGUCCAAUACAUGGGCCUACUCCUUGUACAAGUCCUGGACUUGUCCUGACGAGUCGGCCAAGGCACGGACCUACAUGUGGGGGACCUAGCCUCAGAUAUCUGUUAGCCCCAUGGGGCAACAAACUCCGUGAUACUCAGAAUCGUGUCCAAAUAGUACCGGAUGGAAUUAAAUGGCCGUCUGACGAUAGGAAAGGAUGCAGUAUAUCUAUAUGUACGGUCAAUAUGACUAUGAUAGGAUUAUAUGAACGCAGAACAGCGGUUACACAUCGAUAGAAGAAAAAAAAGAAUAAAAAAAUAAAUUAUGAAAUAAUUAAUAAGCAGGUAAAGGGGCAGUUGAUAACGAUCGGGCCCUGGACGCUCAAGCCGUGGCUAAGCCCGAGCUAGAAAGACUGGGCCUUUGUUUUAUUAGGGUCCAAUACAUGGGCCUACUACUUGUACAAGUCAUGGACUUGUCCUGGCAAGUCGGCCAAGGCACGGACCUACAUGUGGGGGACCUGGCUUCAGAUAUCUGUUAGCCUCAUGGGGCAACAAACUCCGUGAUAUUCAGAAUCGUGUCCAAGUAGUACCGAAUGAAAUUAAAUGGCCGUCUGACGAUAGGAAAGAAUGCAGUAUAUCUAUAUGUACGGCUAAUAUGACUAUGAUAGGAUUAUAUGAACGCAGGACAACGGUUACACAUCGAUAGAGAAAAAAAAUAAAAAAAAAUAAAAGAAGAGAGACAAACCAAAUUUACUAAAAUAUAUUUUCAAUCUAAUCUCUUACGACGAUUAAUAUUUAUAAUAGAUAUAUAUGUCUCAACUUUUUAAGAAUAUUUGGCGAUCAAACACAAUAUGCAAUGAAAGAUUACAUACAAGUAAGAGGUGUGAUGUAGAUAUGUAGAGGAAGUGUAAAGUCACAAGAUAUAAUUUUAAAAAUAAAUAAAUAAAUAAAUAAUAUAUAUAUAUAUGACAGAUACGAAAAAGUAAUUUUGCAUUUUUUAUUUUGCCCCACUUGCCCACAAAGAAGGCAGUUUUCAUCUCUAUCCCUCCCUGAAUAAUUUUUCUGAUGACAGUUGAGGAAAUUUGGUAAGAUAUGAUUGUGUGGCUUUAAUGUUUUGUUUUUGUUGUGAAAGGGGCGAGGCAAAUGUUUUUGGGUCCACUAGCUUUUUUUUUCUUCUAAAUUGUCUAAAAGAGAGAUUUGUCAAACCAUGGUCGGUGGAGAAAGUUAUUUCGAAUUUUGGGGAGAGGAAAAAAAUUUCAGAUUCUUUUUCACUUUCAGAUUGGAUGGUUGAAUUUGUAUCAGCCGUAGUAUCAAGCUAUUAAUAAAAAAAUAAUAAUUUGUUUCAACAGUGCUAUCACGCUAUUAAUAAAAAAAUAAUAAUUUUUUUUAUAUCUAUUAAAAAUAUUAAUAUAAAAAUUAUAUUAUAAAAUAUUAAUUUAAUAUAAAUUAAAUUAUAUAUUCAAAAUAAAAAUAAGUGGCUUUUAAAAAAAUAAAAUAAAAAUAAGUAAAAUUACAAUAUAUUUUUUAUAUUUUUAAAUUAAUAAUUAUAUUUUAAUUAUUACUAUAUGUAUUUUUUAUGAUAUUAAAAAAUUACCGUUAUUUAUUAAAAAAAUAUUAUAUAUAUUAUUUUAAUGUAAUUUAAAUUAUAGAUUUUGAUAUAAAAAUUAGUGAAAAUACAGUAUUUGUUUUUUUUAAUAAAUAUUAAUUAAUUAUUAUAAAAGGAGGGGAAUUAAUUGAAAAAAAAAAAGAGUAGGGAAGAAAAUUUAAAACCAAAGAAGGAAAUGAGAAAAUAAAAGAAUGAGAGAAAAUGAGAUUGAGGAAAAUAAUCAACUAAUAAACAAUUAUCUUGUAUUGAAUACUUGCACCUAUCCUUACUGAUUGACUAAGAAACAAAGAAAACUUUAUUUUACUUACUGUCGUUUUCUGCAGACAUGAAUUCUCUUCUGAACAUCAAGGAAUCAGUCAGACUAUUUUAGAGAUUAUAAAGAUGAUGCAGUAGUGAAGGAAGAUUAUUCACAAACACCAUAGGAAAGCUUUUCUCACUUGUUUCUGGUGAUUUUCUUCAAUCAGUUCUUGGGGAAACAUGAGUUCAGCUCUUUCAACAGCUUCGGCCACCAGAAGGUAAAAUGACAAGCUGGCUUCUAAACUCUUUCAAUUUCUACAACAAUGAAAAAAAAAUUCAAAUACCCUUUUGCAGGCUAGAGGGCAAAGUAGCACUAAUUACUGGUGGAGCCAGUGGCAUAGGCGAGAGCACAGCUAGGCUAUUUAUCAAACAUGGAGCCAAGGUACUCAUCGCAGACGUUCAAGAUGAUCUUGGCCACUCACUCUGCCAAGAAUUCGACUCCCAAGAAACUCUCUCUUACAUCUACUGCGAUGUCACUUGUGAUUCUGAUGUUCAAAACGCUGUGGAUACUGCAGUCUCCAGGUAUGGAAAGCUCGACAUAAUGUUCAGCAAUGCAG
This 9380-nucleotide long non-coding RNA is filed under the name Manihot esculenta (cassava). RNAcentral's name for it is "long non-coding RNA (MESC_LNC005245)". Lineage: Eukaryota; Viridiplantae; Streptophyta; Magnoliopsida; Malpighiales; Euphorbiaceae. The record is from RNAcentral.